This 1895-nucleotide long non-coding RNA is filed under the name Gossypium barbadense (sea-island cotton). Its description in RNAcentral is "long non-coding RNA (GBAR_LNC005720)". The record is from RNAcentral. Lineage: Eukaryota; Viridiplantae; Streptophyta; Magnoliopsida; Malvales; Malvaceae.
AAAACCCAAAACUUCAAACGUAAAUAAAAGGAUGUGCAGUUCACCAGAAGAAAAUCAAACUUUCAGAACGGGUGGCCACUUCGAAUUCCCUCAUAGCUCCAAGCCCACUAUGGUUGGGGAUUUCCUGCGUGGAUGAAAAUAAAAGGGUGAGUUUGGGGAAACUCAGUGUGUAAGGAAAACCCAUUCAAAGCCCAAGUCAGCUCAAGCCUAUUGGGCCUAAGCCCAUUCAGGUAACAGUGGUACUGGACCAGAGCCCUUUUCAGAUUACAAUAAACUGGGCCUUAGCCCCUUAUUCAGAUAACAGUAUGGCCCAUAGGCCCAUUUCAAAAUACAUGCAACAUCAAUAACAUAUGCAAACCCAUUUGGGGAGACUACUCAACCCACUAACCACUACACUCCACCCGUACCAGCCAUACGCUCCAUGUGGGGAUAGCUCAACCCACCCAGCCCAACACUCCACAGUUGCUGCAUUACUGCUCAGUUAACAGUAAAUUGAGGCAAAGCCUCUAGUACGUGGACAAGCCACUUUCAGUACUUCCUCCGUCAAUAUCCCAAUCCCAUGAAUCAGAUAAUAACAACAUGGCAUGCAGUAAAUAACAACAGUCAAACAUGCAUUUAAGUCAAUUUAACCCUAGGGGUAUUUCGGUAAUUUAUCUUCUAGGGGUAAAACUGUAAAUUUUCCACUUUUAAAGGUAUUUCAGUAUUUUAUCUAUUUUAGGGUUUUUCAUGCAUAUUCCUACCUUUCACGUACUACAGAAUCACGUAUCGAGGGUUCUUACCGAAUUAGGCCCGUUGGCCCAUCAUUCCAAUUUUGGCCCAUUAAGCCCAAAAAUAUUGAGGGCACAGAAAUCAUGCACUUUACAGUCCAAACAUUGCAGCUUACCAAAAACAUUAAUCGAUUUACCUCACGAGCAUUCGCACACUCGCAAAUCUACAAAUACCGGUUUUCGGCAUUUCUGAUUUUCGACUUUUGCCGAUCUAGACUAAGAAAGAGGGUGUUAGUUACACACCUGUUUGUGACGAUAUGCUGACGAGAUCCACACACGAACUGCCUACAAUUUGAUUACUAACACGUUAAUCUAACUAUUCAAAUACGAACUACGUAUUAACCCCUUACAAUAUUCGGCCAACCACACCUACAGAUCAUAGUAAGCUUAUAAGAAAACAAUAAGCAACUCAUUAACAAAUUUUUGUCAAUGUUUACCACAUAAUCAUAAUUUCACUGCAAGCUGUCUUCCUGAGCAACAUUCACUAAAUUAUUUAUAACUGGAGCUACGAAACUCCAAAUCAAGUUCCGUUAAUUUUCUUUGAAAAUAGACUCAUAUAUCUUAUAUCCAUAAAAUUUUCAGAAUUUUUGGUUUGGCCAAUCAAUACCAGAUUUUUCUCAAACUUUCGCAUGUUUCACUGUUUGACUAAUCUGACCACUCUUCAUUACGAAUCAAAUUUCUCAUUUUACAGAAUUUAAAAUAUGUUCUCAUUUAUUCCAUUUGAAACUAGACUCAUUAAUAUUUAAUUACAUAAUUUAUUCAGCUUCUAAUUCAUCUCCCACAAUUUAUGGUGAUUUUCCAAAGUCACGUUACUGCUGCUGUCCCAAGCAGAUUUAUUACCAAAUUCACUCUUUCACACAUAACUUGCAUGCAUAUUUUUUAAACAUGUAUAUCACCAAUCAGUCAUCACAUAUCUAUGAUUUUACUUAAGUAUAAUCACCAUUUCAUUAUUUUUCUUACCUUAGAUACUAAAAACCAAAAUAUGCUUCAAGAGUUAAGGUAGAAUCAAGAAGAACUCAUGAACCUCAAAAUAAAAGCAAACUACCAUGAACUUACCUUCAAUUUUUCUUCCCCAAGUGACCGAACAUUCAAGAGCUUUCUCCUCUCCUUUCUCUUCUCUAACUUUAG